UGUACAGGGCUACACUUACUGGUCUGAACAGUUCACGAGAGACCAGUGUUUGUAAACUUUGACGAUGGGACACCAAACAACACAACACCGGGUGCCUUCAAUACCAUGGCAUGCUCACAAACGAAUAUGGAAUAUCAACUUUGAGGCAGUGAAUAAUCAUUUUGGGGGCAAAGUUAAAUGAUUUUUCUCUUUGAUAUAUUGAUUUUUGAGUAACAUAAAAAUAUAAGCUAGUGUUUUAAUGUUGAUGAUCUAAGUAUGAAAUCUCUUCACUGAAGAUAUUUCAUACCCCAAAGUUUUUUUCACACAACACCGGGCGCCACGUGUAGGGAGGAGACAACGCCUUAGGCAGAAAAAAGUAUCGAUUAUCACUAGUUUGGUUACAAAAGUAACGAUGAUACCGAUAUAUACUUAAAUAAGUAGCGGAUGGCCGAUAACCCAAUUUUGUUAUCAGCGAUAAAGUAUUGCGAUAACUUAUCGCGAUAACGCCCAGCUAUGCCAGGGUCACACACCUACCUCGGGAAAUGCCCACAAAUCCUAAGAAAGCCUAGUCAAAUGUGUGUUUCCUUAGGUUCACGGUACAGAGGAAGGGUCAAACUACUACCAGGGUCACAAAACUACCCCUGGAAAUGCCCCCACAACUCCUAGGAAAGCCUUGGCAAAUGUGUGUUUCCUUAGGUUCAUGGUACAAAGGAAUGGUCAAACUACCACUAGGGUCACAAAACUGCCCCUGGCAAUACCCACAACACCUAGGAAAGCCUGGUCAAAUGUACGUUUCCUUAGGUUCAUGGUACAGAGGAAGGGUCAAACUACUACCAGGGUCACAAAACUACCCCUGGAAAUGCCCCCACAACUCCUAGGAAAGCCUUGGCAAAUGUGUGUUUCCUUAGGUUCAUGGUACAGAGGAAGGGUCACACUACCACCAGGGUCACACAACUAUCCCUGGAGAUGCCCACAACUCCUAGGAAAGCCUUGUCAAAUGUGUGUUUCCUAUGUUCACAGUACAGAGGAAGGGUCACAAAACUACCCCUGGAAAUGCCCACAACUCCUAGGAAACCUUUGUCAAAUGUGUUUCCUUAGGUUCACAGAACAGAGGAAGGGUCACAAAACUACCCCUGGAAAUGCCCACAACUCCUAGGAAAGCCUGGUCAAAUGUGUGUUUCUUUAGGUUCACAGUACAGAGGAAGGGUCACAAAACUACCCCUGGAAAUGCCCACAACUCCUGGGAAAGCCUGGUCAAAUGUGUGUUUCUUUAGGUUCACAGUACAGAGGAAGGGUCACAAAACUACCCCUGGAAAUGCCCACAACUCCUAGGAAAGCCUGGUCAAAUGUGUGUUUCUUUAGGUUCACAGUACAGAGGAAGGGUCACAAAA
Eriocheir sinensis (Chinese mitten crab) is the source of this 1370-nucleotide long non-coding RNA. RefSeq lists it as uncharacterized. NCBI's taxonomy places the organism in Eukaryota, Metazoa, Arthropoda, Malacostraca, Decapoda, Varunidae. The transcript is spliced from 2 exons. The record is from RefSeq and is a predicted model, not a curated record.